Molecule: long non-coding RNA, 2214 nt
Filed under: Neodiprion pinetum (white pine sawfly)
Lineage: Eukaryota; Metazoa; Arthropoda; Insecta; Hymenoptera; Diprionidae
Description: uncharacterized LOC124221390
Source: RNAcentral
UGAAUUAAAAUCAAGGUACUAUAACAGAUCGUCAACUCGAACGUGGAAUGAUUUACUCGGUAACAAAUGAGCACCGAACAGGCUGGCACUUGUGAUCGCGAUCGGGUCUCUUGAGAUCGAAAUCUUGACAUUUCUUUGGAGCGGUGUAAUGAAGAACGAAAUGAUCUUCUCGGCAGUGAGUUCAGACAGGGACUGACUGAACGACGACGGUAGAAGAGAUCUCUCGUGAGAGGUGUGAGAGGUCCCAAACGGGGUGAAUAGGCCCAAAAAUCUUACCUGAGGCAACCGCGACCUAUUGGUGGGGGUCAGGUAUGAAAAGGUUUUUACAUAACCCUCAUUAUGCAAUGCCGCAGGAGGGCAGAAUGAAAGAUGUAGGAAAGCUCGACUGCUGCUCCACCUUUCCUGCAUUGCACACCGUGCAAAACGGUACAGUCUCAACGUUCCCAUACCUGCCCGCCAUGUGUAAUUGUUCGAGUUCCGCUACCUGAGAUGCAAAUACACACUGUAUCGUACGGCCGUGUGUAUGAAUGUGCCGUGGAUACGAAAACGGCGCAGCUACAACAUGACAUAUCAGCAUCGCUUCGCCCGUUGCAGGAAAAAUUAAUUUAAUUUAUUUCUACCCCGCUGGGAAAGGAAGGUGGAUGGAUGGAUGGUUGGAUGGAAGCGUUCAUGACGUCGACGCCAUCUCCCCAACGAGCCAAAGGGUUGGACCAGAUGACGCCAUUUCCAAUUUCCUGAAUGAAAAGCGGAACCAAUUCACACUUUCAACACCUGGCUCCCCCCCUUCCUCCUUCUCGACGUAUAACUGUUCUUUAAUUAACUAUUUCAACGGACUAAUUGGCUUGAGAGAAAUGACUCUCACCGGCAUGUGAAACUACUGCAGGCCUGGUGGACGCCUGUUACAUAUUCGACGUCGUUUGUAGCUCGACGAGGGUGCAGAAAGAAGGCGAGACUACGAAGUUGGAGGAUUUGAUUGAUUGCACUCAACGCGCUCGAGAUUUAAAUCUCCUUAACGUUGGAUCCUAUGGAGUCAAUCAAACUAGAACUUGAAGGUGCCGUGGAAUCUUAUUCUUGACAAUGAUUUUCAAGCGACAUGUAAUGCCUGAGUAAGCAAGCUCUUUCGGACGAUACGAACGCGCUUACCUUACCCAGGAAACACCAUGCUUCGUGACCCUAAGUUGCUCAAUGGCUAUCAGGAUUCACCAGGAAAUGAAACAUAUUCGACACCAUUUACAAACCCAGAUAACACGAGAAACAAUGCGACGCUCUAACAGCGAAGUAUUAGAGGAGUUAAGGCUCUUGCUGGCGGUUUAGAUUCCUUCAAUGGAUUCAAGGAUAUUCACGAUGACCGUGGCAGCGACAUCGCUGGAGAAAACCAAAACUUGUCCUACUAUGGAGAUAGCAACUCGAAGGGGAGCCUUUGCAUGAAAUUCCUACCCUAUGAAGAAGGGUAAAGGCGUCGAGAGGGUAGCUGUUGGCAAGCCAUUCGUCAGAAGAUAACGUUACUCAAUCGACGGAGCAAUGACAUUCAGUCGGUACGAAGUGAGUACGUGAGACUACUUCUCGACUGCGACUUAGAAAUGUCACUCAGCUCGAUCAUCACCGUGUGAAGACGCGUGACAGCGUCCACCGCCGACCACCGCAACUACCUCCGAGCACCACCAACCACCUUCAAUCACCUCCACCCACCUCCGGCCACCUUCGUCCUCAUCGACCACCUCGUCCCCCCCUCGUCAUCCACCCCGCCCUGUCGUCAUCGUCCUUCUCGACCUCCUCCGAUCACCACCAACCACCUCCAAACACCUCCUACGUUGUCUAAAGAAUAAAAAGACAGUUGCCCUAAUGGGCUCUGGUGUGACAACCGAAUUCGUCGUGCGCUUGCGCUCCCUGAGAUGUUCCAUCGGUAGAGUUAAGAACUUAUUGCAGAACAUCAGAGAGUUACCGAUUUCGACGUGAUGCUGACUGCAUUCGCCUUCCGAGUAACACAGUCUUCGCAAUGGUGGUUGGAGGUGGACGAGGAGGAGGACGAGAAAGAGGAGGCGAACAAGGUGAAAGAGGAGGACGAGGAUUUGUGCUCGGUAUAACCUGAGGUGGUUAUUGGUGGUUAUUGGUGGUUGUUGGGGGCGGUUGGCGGUGGUCGGAGGUGGACGAGGAGGAGGACGAGAAAGAUGAGGAAAACAAGGUGGACGAGGAGGGCGAGGAUUUGUGCUCGGU